Molecule: ribosomal RNA, 468 nt
Filed under: uncultured bacterium
Lineage: Bacteria
Description: partial 16S ribosomal RNA
Rfam family: Bacterial small subunit ribosomal RNA
Source: RNAcentral
GACGAACGCUGGCGGCGUGCUUAACACAUGCAAGUCGAACGGAAAGGCCCUGCUUUUGUUGGGUGCUCGAGUGGCGAACGGGUGAGUAACACGUGAGUAACCUGCCCUUGACUUUGGGAUAACAUCAGGAAACUGGGGCUAAUACCGGAUAGGAGCUCCUGCUGCAUGGUGGUGGUUGGAAAGUUUCGGCGGUUGGGGAUGGACUCGCGGCUUAUCAGCUUGUUGGUGGGGUAGUGGCUUACCAAGGCUUUGACGGGUAGCCGGCCUGAGAGGGUGACCGGCCACAUGGGGCCUGAGAUAGGGCGCAGAAUCCAACGGGAGGCAGUAGUGGAGAAUAUUGCAGAAUGGGCGGAAGCCCGAUGUAGAAACGCCGCGUGCGGGAUGACGGCCUUCGGGUUGUAAACCGCUUUCGCCGGUGACAAAGCGUGAGUGACGGUAAUGGGUAAAGAAGCACCGGCUAACUACGUG